Molecule: non-coding RNA, 122 nt
Organism: Periconia macrospinosa
Lineage: Eukaryota; Fungi; Ascomycota; Dothideomycetes; Pleosporales; Periconiaceae
Source: the annotation of a GenBank genome assembly
GGCGUGUUGGCGGAGUGGUCUAACGCGCUAGACUUGAACCAUCUGUUAAGUUUGUUAUUAACUUCGCAGUGGUGAGAUAUCUAGUUCCUUCGGGAGCGUCUGUUCGAAUCAGGCACACGUCG